CGGAUUGUAGUCUGCAACCCGACUACAUGAAGCUGGAAUCGCUAGUAAUCGCGGAUCAGAAUGCCGCGGUGAAUACGUUCCCGGGUCUUGUACACACCGCCCGUCACACCAUGGGAGUCGGAAAUGCCCGAAGUCUGUGACCCAACCUACGGGAGGGAGCAGCCGAAGGCAGGUCGGAUGACUGGGGUGAAGUCGUAACAAGGUACC
This 207-nucleotide ribosomal RNA is filed under the name uncultured bacterium. RNAcentral's name for it is "partial 16S ribosomal RNA". It matches the Rfam family "Bacterial small subunit ribosomal RNA", at positions 1294 to 1500 of the family's 1533-position model. The record is from RNAcentral.